RNAcentral lists this unclassified non-coding RNA (431 nucleotides) under soil metagenome. RNAcentral's name for it is "partial contains 5.8S ribosomal RNA, internal transcribed spacer 2, and large subunit ribosomal RNA". The stretch from base 1 to 120 matches the Rfam family "5.8S ribosomal RNA", at positions 35 to 154 of the family's 154-position model. The record is from RNAcentral.
GAUGAAGAACGUAGUGAAAUGCGAUACGUAAUGUGAAUUGCAGAAUUCAGUGAAUCAUCGAAUCUUUGAACGCAUAUUGCGCUCUUUGGUAUUCCGAAGAGCAUGCUUGUUUGAGUAUCAGUAAACACCUCAAAAGAUUUUCAUUUUUGAAAUGAUUUUGGACUUGAGCAAUCCCAACACCAGUCUUCACGGAUCGGCGGAGGGUUGCUUGAAAUGCAGGUGCAGCUGGACAUUCUCCUGAGCUAAAAGCAUAUCUAUUUAGUCCCGUCAAACGGAUUAUUACUUUUGCUGCAGCUAACAUAAAGGGAGUUUGACCAUUUUGGCUGACUGAUGCAGGAUUUCACAAGGGUCGGUAAAACGAUUUUUGUAAAACUCGAUCUCAAAUCAAGUAAGACUACCCGCUGAACUUAAGCAUAUCAAUAAGCGGAGGA